This 264-nucleotide long non-coding RNA is filed under the name Brassica napus (rape). RNAcentral's name for it is "long non-coding RNA (BNAP_LNC018405)". The record is from RNAcentral. Lineage: Eukaryota; Viridiplantae; Streptophyta; Magnoliopsida; Brassicales; Brassicaceae.
GUUCUUAGGGUCGGGUUCUUAUAUUCCGCUAAAAAUCCACCACUCCAAGAACCUCCAUUAAUCAUGCUCUUAUAACUUACAUCACCGAAUUUGGACUAUAAUCGAAUUUCAAUACCUUCAAACUGUCUCGCUAAGUCUAAUGUUGUGAUUGGCGUCCAAAAAGAGAAGCGUAUUUGUGGUAUGGAGAGAGAAAAAACGCAUAUGUUACCACACAUAUGUUACCAAUCAAGAAAAAAUUGAAUAACCCAACAGUAACCGAUCAAA